RNAcentral lists this signal recognition particle RNA (98 nucleotides) under Clostridia bacterium. RNAcentral's name for it is "signal recognition particle sRNA small type". It matches the Rfam family "Bacterial small signal recognition particle RNA". Rfam says of the family: The signal recognition particle (SRP) is a universally conserved ribonucleoprotein involved in the co-translational targeting of proteins to membranes. Archaeal SRP consists of a 7S RNA and homologues of the eukaryotic SRP19 and SRP54 proteins. In most bacteria, the SRP consists of a 4.5S RNA and the Ffh protein (a homologue of the eukaryotic SRP54 protein). Lineage: Bacteria; Bacillati; Bacillota; Clostridia. The record is from RNAcentral.
GGAUAGGUCUGUACGACGGACUGCCGUGAACCAUGUCAGGCGGGGAACCGAGCAGCAUUAAGCGGAUUUGUCCGUGCGAUGCAGGGUGCCUGUCCGUU